CUGAAAAUACUAAGCGUGUUUCCGCUGAUGUAAAAAUGCCUUAUUCCCGUGCAAAACAUGUUUUUGCCGCAAAAAGUCAAAUUUUCGUGUUAUUACUUCACAAUAUCGACUAAAAACCUCGACAUUUUAAGCCAUUUUCUCAAUUUCGAGUUAUUUUAUUAGACGUUUGAAUUAUUGAGCAGAGUUUUUGCGAUAAUAACCCGAAAUGCCAGCGCCCUGUAAGUUUAUUUAAUCAUGCGGCAAAAUACACAAAGUUACGUUGGUAUAAUUCGUAUUGAAGUGAUUUACAAGUGAUUUACAAGCUGAAUAGACCGAACAACAAACGUAAACGUUACAUUAAAAAAAAUUAGGGGAAUUAUCUUGACAAAAACGUUUCAUCUUUGACUAAACUCAAAUCAAAACGACAAGCUCACUCCUGGCCUCUGAUUGGUGAUCUGCUCCUGGUGGGAUAUGGGCGGGUCUGGUAUUAAGCGAUCGGUUGAAUAUUUGAAAUCCAAAACAACAGUCGCGUUGAGGUGCAUUGUAGCAUUUAUAGGCUUAUUUUGAAUAUAUGAACCCGACUGAAAGUCCAUAAUGAUCUGCGAGUCAAACUGAAAAAGCGCAGCAGCUGAAGAGCAUUGUAAUACCCGAGCACCGUGCAGAACAAAGAAGAGUGACUAGAAUAGACAUGUUCAGAACAAUCACGCGUAUGCUUUUUGGAAGAGAGGAGGAGACCCCCGAAGAUGUCAAGGCUGGAGACACGAUGGAGGAAGGGUGGCAUGUUGUCACUCAUCAAGAGGCAGGUUCAGCAGAAAACCAGGAUGCAAUGUUGACUGACAGUCAACCAUCCAGCUCUGUUCCUCAAGGAACAGACAUGGAAACUGACUGCAUUGCAGAUGCAGAGCCCGCAGCACAAAGCGGGAGUACCGGGACCAGUGCUCAGUCCGUGUUCAGCUCUUUUUCCAAGCCCAAAGCUAUAGCCAAGAUGACACAGGCUAAGGUUUUGGCAGAGCGGCACCAUGUGUCCCGCAACGCUAUUCAACGCCAGAACCGUGUUCGCCAAGGAGUCCAACACCACUCCUACCACCUCCAACAGCCAGGCUGUCGCAGCCUCAGCCACUGAAUCUCUUCACUACAGAUUGACACUAAAGCAACUGAAUACAGACAAAAAAACCCAAACAAAAACACUUGUAGGCUUUUCCACUUUUCUGCAAAUUAAGCUAAACAUUUAAUCUUUAUGUGCCAACACUAGUUAACUGUUACCAGGCAGCUACAUUAGCCUUUGAACUUGUGCUGUAUCUGAAUUUGAAAUAAAGAAUUUACCUCAUAAAAUGAGAUGCUAGGUUUUUUUUUUGUGUAUGUGCACAGGUAAAUUUAUACAGUGUUAUACUACGCAACAUGUAUUCUUGAACCAAGUGAUAUGUUUUGUUUGACACCAUGCACUUCCCUGUAUGUUGCUGGUUCAGAACCUUUUUUUGAUACAUCAAUAAAAGUAUGAUUUUGCAGCG
This is a long non-coding RNA of Oreochromis aureus, 1487 nucleotides long. Lineage: Eukaryota; Metazoa; Chordata; Actinopteri; Cichliformes; Cichlidae. The record is from Ensembl.